This 765-nucleotide ribosomal RNA is filed under the name uncultured bacterium. RNAcentral's name for it is "bacterial SSU rRNA". It matches the Rfam family "Bacterial small subunit ribosomal RNA", at positions 530 to 1293 of the family's 1533-position model. The record is from RNAcentral.
GGGUGCAAGCGUUACUCGGAAUCACUGGGCGUAAAGCGCGCGCAGGCGGUUAGGAAAGUCAGAAGUGAAAUCCUACGGCUCAACCGUAGAACUGCUUCUGAAACUCUCUAACUAGAGUGUGGGAGAGGUGAGUGGAAUUAGUGGUGUAGGGGUAAAAUCCGCAGAGAUCACUAGGAAUACCAAAAGCGAAGGCAACUCACUGGAACAUUACUGACGCUGAGGCGCGAAAGCGUGGGGAGCAAACAGGAUUAGAUACCCUGGUAGUCCACGCCCUAAACGAUGAAUGCUAGUCGUUGGUAUGCUAGUCAUAUCAGUGAUGCAGUUAACACAUUAAGCAUUCCGCCUGGGGAGUACGGUCGCAAGAUUAAAACUCAAAGGAAUAGACGGGGACCCGCACAAGUGGUGGAGCAUGUGGUUUAAUUCGAAGAUACGCGAAGAACCUUACCUGGCCUUGACAUCCCGCGAACCCUGCAGAGAUGCGGGGGUGCCCCUUUUGGGGAGCGCGGUGACAGGUGCUGCACGGCUGUCGUCAGCUCGUGUCGUGAGAUGUUGGGUUAAGUCCCGCAACGAGCGCAACCCUCGUGUUUAGUUGCUAACAGUUCGGCUGAGCACUCUAGACAGACUGCCUCCGCAAGGAGGAGGAAGGUGAGGACGACGUCAAGUCAUCAUGGUCCUUACGGCCAGGGCGACACACGUGCUACAAUGGGUAGGACAAUGAGAGGCAAUACCGCGAGGUGGAGCAAAUCUAUAAACCUACUCUCAGUU